This 573-nucleotide ribosomal RNA is filed under the name uncultured soil bacterium. RNAcentral's name for it is "bacterial SSU rRNA". It matches the Rfam family "Bacterial small subunit ribosomal RNA", at positions 47 to 637 of the family's 1533-position model. The record is from RNAcentral.
CUUAAAACAUGCAAGUCGAACGUGAAGCCCGGGCUUGCCCGGGUGGAAAGUGGCGAACGGGUGCGUAACACGUGAGCAACCUGCCCCGAAGACUGGGAUAACACCGGGAAACCGGUGCUAAUACCGGAUGCCUUCACCAUGUCGCAUGGCGAGGUGAAGAAAUGGAUUCCGCUUCGGGAUGGGCUCGCGGCCUAUCAGCUUGUUGGUGGGGUAAUGGCCUACCAAGGCAACGACGGGUAGCUGGUCUGAGAGGAUGUCCAGCCACACUGGGACUGAGACACGGCCCAGACUCCUACGGGAGGCAGCAGUUAGGAAUCUUGCGCAAUGGGCGAAAGCCUGACGCAGCGAUGCCGCGUGCGGGAUGAAGGCCUUCGGGUCGUAAACCGCUUUCAGCAGGGACGAUCGUGACGGUACCUGCAGAAGAAGCCCCGGCCAACUACGUGCCAGCAGCCGCGGUAAUACGUAGGGGGCGAGCGUUGUCCGGAUUUAUUGGGCGUAAAGAGCUCGUAGGCGGUUUGGUAAGUCGGGUGUGAAAUCUCCACGCUCAACGUGGAGGGGCCACUCGAUACUGCC